CAAAAAAUAGUUUAAUUAAAAUAAUAAUUUUGGGAAUUAUUGAUAUUUUUAAGAAAAUUUUUUUGA
RNAcentral lists this transfer RNA (66 nucleotides) under Bombus ignitus. RNAcentral's name for it is "tRNA-Pro". Lineage: Eukaryota; Metazoa; Arthropoda; Insecta; Hymenoptera; Apidae. The record is from RNAcentral.